UUUCACCAAGUCCUGAUAUUAUGAAACAGCACAGACAAUUUUCAUGUGAUCUCACCUUGCAGUUGCUGUAUCCAUUGGUGUUACUCCCUGGUGUAAGUCCAGAAGCAGCCAUGAAAUGUUUGGCCACAUGCUCUGGCAGCAUGUUGGUGACCAGCGCUUCAUUCCAGCGCCUUAUUUCAAGCACUUUCUCCUUCUGGUCGUGCACGCCAAUCUUCCAAAGAAACAGUUUCCUGGACUGAUGCUCCAGCUGCAGGCACAGAGUCAAAAAGAAGCAGAUACUCACACCUCUCCCCACCGCUCCCCGGCUCCACCUCAAACUCCCCGUGCAGGCUGUCCUUGGUGCUUUGGGAGAUAUGUACUCUCCUUGUACGGCACAGAG
Oryzias latipes (Japanese medaka) is the source of this 379-nucleotide non-coding RNA. Lineage: Eukaryota; Metazoa; Chordata; Actinopteri; Beloniformes; Adrianichthyidae. The record is from RefSeq and is a predicted model, not a curated record.